Long non-coding RNA from Hippoglossus stenolepis (Pacific halibut), 782 nucleotides. RefSeq lists it as uncharacterized. The transcript has 2 exons. The record is from RefSeq and is a predicted model, not a curated record. NCBI's taxonomy places the organism in Eukaryota, Metazoa, Chordata, Actinopteri, Pleuronectiformes, Pleuronectidae.
CCUUCUCUGCUGCUCGAUGUCUGCGGCAUGUGCCAGAUAAUUUUGUGAGAUAGUGAGUGUAGCACGUCCGCUGAUAACUUGGAGUUAUGUGGGCAUAAUAACUUUGAGCUACGUGUGUAACUGCAGUGUAGCGAGCUGGGGUGUUUUUUUCCUGUCUCCACAGGUGUGACACCAUGGAUUGGAAGCGAGGAGGGAGGAUAAGUGCUGAGUGAGCAGAGACAGCAGCCACUGUGUCUUUCUCAAACAUCUUCAAGGUCCCUGCGGAGGGAUAAAUGGACAACAGGAGGUGCUUUCCCAGGAGAGACUCAUCUGGUGCCUUGUGGGGCUCCAGCGUGCAGUGACGAGGGCGGCCGGGCUCUUUGCACUCGCUGUUCCUUUUUCCUAUGCAUAUACCUCUUUGAGAUGUAACUUUAAAGAGGCAUAGGGCAUGGGAAAAUGGGGCUGCAGAGGUAUUCCACCGGGCAGACAGCCGUCAUUUCAUCAUCCUCUCCGCAUGACAGCUGGCCUCAAAGCAAACACACACUCUCACACACUGCAGGAUCCAGCCUGCCGCGGUCUGACCGAGGAAGACUGCAGCGUGUACAUUCUGACCACAGGUGAUUUUUGUGUCUGUGAUUCAUGUUUAUUUCAUAUCAUCACUCAAGUUUCAUCAUGUUCACUCCUGAUGACAUUGUGUGAGUGUGGACUGAGGUGAUAUUGUUACACUGUUUAUUUGAAACAUCUGUUUGCCUCGGUCUCCUAUGUUUGCUGCUGUUUGUGAAUAAAGUCCUCUUGGUAUUAAA